Molecule: ribosomal RNA, 802 nt
Filed under: uncultured Campylobacterota bacterium
Lineage: Bacteria; Pseudomonadati; Campylobacterota
Description: bacterial SSU rRNA
Rfam family: Bacterial small subunit ribosomal RNA
Source: RNAcentral
UCGGUCAGAUGUGAAAGCCCAGGGCUCAACCCUGGACGUGCAUUUGAAACAGUAAGACUUGAGUACUGGAGAGGAAAGCGGAAUUCCUGGUGUAGAGGUGAAAUUCGUAGAUAUCAGGAGGAACACCGAUGGCGAAGGCAGCUUUCUGGACAGAAACUGACGCUGAUGCGCGAAGGCGUGGGUAGCGAACAGGAUUAGAUACCCUGGUAGUCCACGCAGUAAACGAUGCACACUAGGUGUAGGGGAUAUUAAAAUUUUCUGUGCCGCAGUUAACGCAUUAAGUGUACCGCCUGGGGAGUACGGUCGCAAGACUAAAACUCAAAGGAAUAGACGGGGACCCGCACAAGUGGUGGAGCAUGUGGUUUAAUUCGAAGAUACGCGAAGAACCUUACCUAGCCUUGACAUAUAUUAGAACACUUUAGAGAUAGAGUGGUGCCUUCGGGAGCUUUUAUACAGGUGCUGCACGGCUGUCGUCACUCGUGUCGUGAGAUGUUGGGUUAAGUCCCGCAACGAGCGCAACCCUCGUCACUAGUUACUAACGGUUCGGCCGAGGACUCUAGUGAGACUGCCUUCGUAAGGAGGAGGAAGGUGAGGACGACGUCAAGUCAUCAUGGCCCUUACGGCUAGGGCAACACACGUGCUACAAUGGCCAGGACAAUGAUAAGCGAUACCGCGAGGUGGAGCAAAUCUAUAAACCUGGUCUCAGCUCGGAUUGUAGUCUGCAACUCGACUACAUGAAGCUGGAAUCACUAGUAAUCGUAGAUCAGCUAUGCUACGGUGAAUACGUUCCCGGGUCUUGUAC